This is a non-coding RNA of Paramisgurnus dabryanus, 1189 nucleotides long. The record is from RefSeq and is a predicted model, not a curated record. Lineage: Eukaryota; Metazoa; Chordata; Actinopteri; Cypriniformes; Cobitidae.
GGUAUGUAGUAAUAAUACAUUUUAAUAAUGCUGAGUGUGGGAUCAGUUAACUAAAAAUUUCGUUGAUAAUAAGCAAUGUAUGUACAGUAACUAGCUGGUUCACGUUAGAUAUUUUAUGCAUGUGUCUGUGGUAAUUUUAGGUUGUUGAUAGUUAAUUUCACUGAUAGUUUGAGCCUCGUGUAAAUUUCUUAAAAAGCUGUAAUUAUUAUUUUAUUUAACAUUAUUAUGUUUGCUGUCAAGACUGAUAUUUAUUUAUAUAUAUUUAUUGACGUUGAUAUGUAAACUUAACCAACUCAGUUGUACUUGACUAAUGCAAUAAUGACAGGUCCACCAGUUUAGUUCAAGUAUAUUGUAAAACAUUUGAACAAAACAACAUUUGGACAUAACAUACACACAUUGAACAUGCAUACCUCGCUUGUGUUUCCGCCUGCAUCAAUUUAGUUGUAUAGCUGCAUUGCUGGUUAACACCUCUGAGCAGAUUCUCCAUGUUCUUCUUUUAUGUGGAGCUGCUCACCUUAAACAGAUACAGUACAUUGAAGUAAUGUUUUAACACAAAUUAAGCCCUAUAAUAUUGUUUAUGUUUACAAUAAUUGGUAAAAAGUUUGACGGAUAAAAUGGUUCUUACCCUUCUCUAUAUAAGCCCCUUUGUCUGUUAACUUUUGUUCGAGCCUGUCUAGAUCUUUUAUCAGUCUAGAAAGAUGUUGGAGAAAAGACAUCAUCCUCUUCUAUAAUCUCCAUCUGUAAUUGGACUAACAACUGGACCAGUGAAUGCAGGUCACACCAUGGUCUCACGAGUGAAAAUGAGUGCUCUGGAUUGAACAGAAAAGGUGAAUCAAAACUCCAACCAUCUGUAUGAGGGUCUGGAAAAAGGAUGCCCCCUGGAGCUGGAAAUGAUGGAUCAGGUGGAUCCACACUUGAACCAUCUGUAUGAUGAUCUGCACCCACUGGAUCUGUAAAUGGUGGAGCAGGUUUCUGAAUUGAUGUCAGAUGCAAAGCAGAAGCUUAUUUUCUUCCAGUUUGGCUUCAUUAUGGAAAAAUGCUGGAAACUAAAAUGCAGAAUUCUGGCCUGGUGUUUGGUCCCCCCGUUCUCUGGCUUGUGUCUCCAUCAUCAUUACACUCUUGUCAGUGUAAUAGUAUCGUCGUCUGCGUACCAGGACUUUGUUACUCAGCUGUCCCUUCUCCUUCAAAC